This 437-nucleotide ribosomal RNA is filed under the name uncultured Oscillospiraceae bacterium. RNAcentral's name for it is "partial 16S ribosomal RNA". It matches the Rfam family "Bacterial small subunit ribosomal RNA", at positions 341 to 792 of the family's 1533-position model. The record is from RNAcentral. Lineage: Bacteria; Bacillati; Bacillota; Clostridia; Eubacteriales; Oscillospiraceae.
ACGGAAGGCAGCAGUGGGGAAUAUUGGGCAAUGGGCGAAAGCCUGACCCAGCGACGCCGCGUGAGGGAAGAAGGUCUUCGGAUUGUAAACCUCUUUCAGCAGGGAAGAAGGAAGUGACGGUACCUGCAGAAGAAGUCACGGCUAACUACGUGCCAGCAGCCGCGGUAAUACGUAGGUGGCGAGCGUUAUCCGGAAUUACUGGGUGUAAAGGGUGUGUAGGCGGAGAAGCAAGUCAGGCGUGAAAAUCGCGGGCUCAACCCGGAAAGUGCGCUUGAAACUGUUUUCCUUGAGAGUGGGAGAGGUAAACGGAAUUCCUGGUGUAGUAGUGAAAUGCGUAGAUAUCAGGAGGAACACCGGUGGCGAAGGCGGUUUACUGGACCACAACUGACGCUGAGACACGAAAGCGUGGGGAGCAAACAGGAUUAGAUACCCUGGUA